GGCAAUGGCAGGGAAAUUCUGGAGGGGACCGGAGCUGUGUCCACUGAAAAGACUUCAGCGAGGACCCAAGGACCGCCUGGAGUGACAGAUCCAGAGGUCUUGUCCUGUCCUUAAGGGUGUACACACCGUCCCCUACAACGGCAGCUGCUACUGACAGCACAGACCGUGUCCCAGGGACUGUUGUAAGUGAAAAGGACAGUGAAAAAGAUGGAGACUUUACAUCUUUUACAUUUACCUGGAUGGAGUUGAAAUACAUUCUUCUUAGCAAAGUAUCUCAAGAAUGGAAAAAUAAAUAUCCAAUGUAUUCAAUACUAAUAUGAAACCAAUAUAUAAAAAAUUACACAUAUGAAUGAUAGAACACAAAUAUAGUGUAA
Molecule: long non-coding RNA, 374 nt
Organism: Nycticebus coucang (slow loris)
Lineage: Eukaryota; Metazoa; Chordata; Mammalia; Primates; Lorisidae
Exons: 3
Source: RefSeq, a predicted model, not a curated record